UGGGUGAUCUGCCCUCGAUUCUGGGAUAGCCCGGGGAAACCCGGAUUAAUACCGGAUAGCCUCUCGAGCUUUCGAGCUUGUGAGAAAAGGUAGCUUCGGCCUCCGAUCGAGGAUGAGCCCGCGGCGGAUUAGCUUGUUGGUGGGGUAAUGGCCUACCAAGGCGACGAUCCGUAGCUGGUCUGAGAGGACGAUCAGCCACACUGGGACUGAGACACGGCCCAGACUCCUAGGGAGG
This 235-nucleotide ribosomal RNA is filed under the name uncultured bacterium. RNAcentral describes it as "partial 16S ribosomal RNA". It matches the Rfam family "Bacterial small subunit ribosomal RNA", at positions 118 to 348 of the family's 1533-position model. The record is from RNAcentral.